This 812-nucleotide ribosomal RNA is filed under the name Bacillus subtilis. RNAcentral describes it as "bacterial SSU rRNA". It matches the Rfam family "Bacterial small subunit ribosomal RNA", at positions 76 to 871 of the family's 1533-position model. Lineage: Bacteria; Bacillati; Bacillota; Bacilli; Caryophanales; Bacillaceae. The record is from RNAcentral.
GAGCUUGCUCCCUGAUGUUAGCGGCGGACGGGUGAGUAACACGUGGGUAACCUGCCUGUAAGACUGGGAUAACUCCGGGAAACCGGGGCUAAUACCGGAUGGUUGUUUGAACCGCAUGGUUCAAACAUAAAAGGUGGCUUCGGCUACCACUUACAGAUGGACCCGCGGCGCAUUAGCUAGUUGGUGAGGUAACGGCUCACCAAGGCAACGAUGCGUAGCCGACCUGAGAGGGUGAUCGGCCACACUGGGACUGAGACACGGCCCAGACUCCUACGGGAGGCAGCAGUAGGGAAUCUUCCGCAAUGGACGAAAGUCUGACGGAGCAACGCCGCGUGAGUGAUGAAGGUUUUCGGAUCGUAAAGCUCUGUUGUUAGGGAAGAACAAGUACCGUUCGAAUAGGGCGGUACCUUGACGGUACCUAACCAGAAAGCCACGGCUAACUACGUGCCAGCAGCCGCGGUAAUACGUAGGUGGCAAGCGUUGUCCGGAAUUAUUGGGCGUAAAGGGCUCGCAGGCGGUUUCUUAAGUCUGAUGUGAAAGCCCCCGGCUCAACCGGGGAGGGUCAUUGGAAACUGGGGAACUUGAGUGCAGAAGAGGAGAGUGGAAUUCCACGUGUAGCGGUGAAAUGCGUAGAGAUGUGGAGGAACACCAGUGGCGAAGGCGACUCUCUGGUCUGUAACUGACGCUGAGGAGCGAAAGCGUGGGGAGCGAACAGGAUUAGAUACCCUGGUAGUCCACGCCGUAAACGAUGAGUGCUAAGUGUUAGGGGGUUUCCGCCCCUUAGUGCUGCAGCUAACGCAUUAAGCACUCCG